RNAcentral lists this microRNA precursor (89 nucleotides) under Canis lupus familiaris (dog). Its description in RNAcentral is "mir-8799 microRNA precursor family". It matches the Rfam family "mir-8799 microRNA precursor family". RNAcentral also lists the same sequence under 1 other name. The record is from Rfam by way of RNAcentral. Lineage: Eukaryota; Metazoa; Chordata; Mammalia; Carnivora; Canidae.
CGGGGGAGGCCGGAUUCUGGGCUGUGUCCCGGCGCCCUGUGCUCCCGGGCCUGUGCUGUUGGAUUCGCGUCCCGGCUGCGCAUCCCCCU